UCUGGCGGCAGUAGCGCGGUGGUCCCACCUGACCCCAUGCCGAACUCAGAAGUGAAACGCCGUAGCGCCGAUGGUAGUGUGG
This 82-nucleotide ribosomal RNA is filed under the name Escherichia coli. The record is from RNAcentral. Lineage: Bacteria; Pseudomonadati; Pseudomonadota; Gammaproteobacteria; Enterobacterales; Enterobacteriaceae.